GUCAAUUUGGCCGAGUGGUUAAGGCGACAGACUUGAAAUCUGUUGGGCAUUGCCCGCGCAGGUUCGAACCCUGCAGUUGACGA
RNAcentral lists this transfer RNA (83 nucleotides) under Marchantia polymorpha subsp. ruderalis. RNAcentral's name for it is "tRNA-Ser". It matches the Rfam family "tRNA". From Rfam's summary of the family: Transfer RNA (tRNA) molecules are approximately 80 nucleotides in length. Their secondary structure includes four short double-helical elements and three loops (D, anti-codon, and T loops). Further hydrogen bonds mediate the characteristic L-shaped molecular structure. tRNAs have two regions of fundamental functional importance: the anti-codon, which is responsible for specific mRNA codon recognition, and the 3' end, to which the tRNAs corresponding amino acid is attached (by aminoacyl-tRNA synthetases). tRNAs cope with the degeneracy of the genetic code in two manners: having more than one tRNA (with a specific anti-codon) for a particular amino acid; and 'wobble' base-pairing, i.e. permitting non-standard base-pairing at the 3rd anti-codon position. Lineage: Eukaryota; Viridiplantae; Streptophyta; Marchantiopsida; Marchantiales; Marchantiaceae. The record is from RNAcentral.